This 111-nucleotide ribosomal RNA is filed under the name Pisolithus albus. RNAcentral's name for it is "partial 28S ribosomal RNA". Lineage: Eukaryota; Fungi; Basidiomycota; Agaricomycetes; Boletales; Pisolithaceae. The record is from RNAcentral.
CAGCAUUCUUGCGAGAGUCAGUAAGAACAAUACGGCGGAGGCAUUCAGAAGAAUUACCCCGACGCAUGCACUUGAAUAAGCCGGAGGAUGCUAUCAAAAGGCGAGAUGCUC